RNAcentral lists this ribosomal RNA (500 nucleotides) under uncultured bacterium. RNAcentral describes it as "partial 16S ribosomal RNA". It matches the Rfam family "Bacterial small subunit ribosomal RNA", at positions 30 to 523 of the family's 1533-position model. The record is from RNAcentral.
AUUGAACGCUGGCGGAAUGCUUUACACAUGCAAGUCGAACGGCAGCACGGACUUCGGUCUGGUGGCGAGUGGCGAACGGGUGAGUAAUACAUCGGAACGUGCCCAAUCGUGGGGGAUAACGUAGCGAAAGCUACGCUAAUACCGCAUACGAUCUAAGGAUGAAAGCGGGGGAUCGCAAGACCUUGCGCGAUUGGAGCGGCCGAUGGCAGAUUAGGUAGUUGGUAGGGUAAAGGCCUACCAAGCCGACGAUCUGUAGCUGGUCUGAGAGGAUGAUCAGCCACACUGGGACUGAGUCACGGCCCAGACUCCUACGGGAGGCAGCAGUGGGGAAUUUUGGACAAUGGACGCAAGUCUGAUCCAGCCAUUCCGCGUGCAGGAUGAAGGCCCUCGGGUUGUAAACUGCUUUUGUACAGAACGAAAAGGCUCUGGUUAAUACCUAGGGCUCAUGACGGUACUGUAAGAAUAAGCACCGGCUAACUACGUGCCAGCCGCCGCAGUAA